RNAcentral lists this ribosomal RNA (335 nucleotides) under uncultured bacterium. RNAcentral describes it as "bacterial SSU rRNA". It matches the Rfam family "Bacterial small subunit ribosomal RNA", at positions 28 to 326 of the family's 1533-position model. The record is from RNAcentral.
GACGAACGCUGGCGGCGUGCCUAAUACAUGCAAGUCGAACGCACUCUCGUUUAGAUUGAAGGAGCUUGCUCCUGAUUGAUAAACAUUUGAGUGAGUGGCGGACGGGUGAGUAACACGUGGGGUAACCUGCCCUAAAGUGGGGGAUAACAUUUGGAAACAGAUGCUAAUACCGCAUAAAACCUAACACCGCAUGGUGUAGGGUUGAAAGAUGGUUUCGGCUAUCACUUUAGGAUGGACCCGCGGUGCAUUAGUUAGUUGGUGAGGUAAAGGCUCACCAGACCGUGAUGCAUAGCCGACCUGAGAGGGGUAAAUCGGGCCACACUGGGACUGAGACA